GGCUCAGGAUAAACGCUAGCGGCGCGCUUAAUGCAUGCAAGUCGAGCGAUGAGGCUCUUCGGAGCCAUCAGCGGCAGACGGGUGAGUAACACGUGAGUGACCUACCCCAAAGUUGGGAAUAACGGAUGGAAACAUGCGCUAAUACCCAAUAGGCUUCUGGGGUCAUAGCCAGGAGUAAAGCUCCGGUGCUUUGGGAGGGGCUCGCGGCCCAUCAGCUAGUUGGUCGGGUAAUGGCCUACCAAGGCGAAGACGGGUAGGGGGUGUGAGAGCACGGCCCCCCACAAUGGGACUGAGAGACGGCCCAUACUCCUACGGGAGGCAGCAGCAGGGAAUAUUGCGCAAUGGACGGAAGUCUGACGCAGCGACGCCGCGUGAGUGAUGAAGGCUUUCGGGUUGUAAAACUCUUUUCUGGGGGAAGAGGCAGGACGGUACCCCAGGAAUAAGUGUCGGCUAACUACGUGCCAGCAGCCGCGGUAAUAUGUAGGACACGAGCGUUAUCCGGAUUUACUGGGCGUAAAGCGUCUGUAGGCGGUCGGACAAGUUGGGCGUGAAAGCUUUGGGCUUAACCCAGAGAGGCCGUUCAAUACUGUCGGGCUAGAGGAUGUCAGAGGGGGGCGGAAUUCCCAGUGUAGCGGUAAAAUGCGCAGAUAUUGGGAGGAACACCCGUGGCGAAGGCGGCUCCCUGGGGCAUACCUGACGCUCAGAGACGAAAGCUAGGGGAGCAAACAGGAUUAGAGACCCUGGUAGUCCUAGCCCUAAACAAUGGAUGCUAGGUGUGGGAUCGCAAUGAUUCCGUGCCGGAGCAAACGCGGUAAGCAUCCCGCCUGGGGACUACGGCCGCAAGGUUAAAACUCAAACGAAUUGACGGGGACCCGCACAAGCAGCGGAGCGUGUGGUUUAAUUCGAUGCUACACGAAGAACCUUACCUGGGCUUGACUUGGCCGUGGUAGCGAAGCGAAAGCGGAGCGACCCUUCGGGGAGCGGUCACAGGUGCUGCAUGGCUGUCGUCAGCUCGUGCCGUGAGGUGUCGGGUUAAGUCCCGUAACGAGCGCAACCCUUACCCUUAGUUACAUGUGUCUAGGGGGACUGCCGGCGGGAAGCCGGAGGAAGGUGGGGAUGACGUCAAGUCAGCAUGGCCCUUAUGUCCAGGGCUACACACACGCUACAAUGAUCGGUACAACGGGCAGCCAAACCGCGAGGUGGAGCGAAUCCCGGCAAAGCCGAUCGUAGUUCGGAUUGCAGGCUGCAACUCGCCUGCAUGAAGCUGGAGUUGCUAGUAACCGUGCGUCAGCUAUAGCGCGGUGAAUACGUUCCCGGGUCUUGUACACACCGCCCGUCACGUCAUGGGAGUCGGUAACGCCUGAAGCCAGUAGCCUGACCGCAAGGGAGGCGCUGUCGAAGGUGGGGCUGGCGACUGGGACGAAGUCGUAACAA
This 1434-nucleotide ribosomal RNA is filed under the name metagenome. RNAcentral's name for it is "bacterial SSU rRNA". It matches the Rfam family "Bacterial small subunit ribosomal RNA". The record is from RNAcentral.